RNAcentral lists this ribosomal RNA (492 nucleotides) under uncultured bacterium. Its description in RNAcentral is "partial 16S ribosomal RNA". It matches the Rfam family "Bacterial small subunit ribosomal RNA", at positions 29 to 507 of the family's 1533-position model. The record is from RNAcentral.
AGUGAACGCUGGCGGUAGGCCUAACACAUGCAAGUCGAACGGCAGCACAGUAAGAGCUUGCUCUUACGGGUGUCGAGUGGCGGACGGGUGAGGAAUACAUCGGAAUCUACUUUUUCGUGGGGGAUAACGUAGGGAAACUUACGCUAAUACCGCAUACGACCUACGGGUGAAAGCAGGGGAUCUUCGGACCUUGCGCGAUUGAAUGAGCCGAUGUCGGAUUAGCUAGUUGGCGGGGUAAAGGCCCACCAAGGCGACGAUCCGUAGCUGGUCUGAGAGGGUGAUCAGCCACACUGGAACUGAGACACGGUCCAGACUCCUACGGGAGGCAGCAGUGGGGAAUAUUGGACAAUGGGCGCAAGCCUGAUCCAGCCAUACCGCGUGGGUGAAGAAGGCCUUCGGGUUGUAAAGCCCUUUUGUUGGGAAAGAAAAGCAGCAGGUUAAUACCCCGCUGUUCUGACGGUACCCAAAGAAUAAGCACCGGCUAACUUCGUG